UGGUUGUCGUCAGCUCGUGUCGUGAGAUGUUGGGUUAAGUCCCGCAACGAGCGCAACCCUUGAUCUUAGUUGCCAGCAUUCAGUUGGGCACUCUAAGGUGACUGCCGGUGACAAACCGGAGGAAGGUGGGGAUGACGUCAAAUCAUCAUGCCCCUUAUGACCUGGGCUACACACGUGCUACAAUGGAUGGUACAAAGGGCUGCGAGACCGCGAGGUUUAGCCAAUCCCAUAAAACCAUUCUCAGUUCGGAUUGCAGGCUGCAACUCGCCUGCAUGAAGCUGGAAUCGCUAGUAAUCGCGGAUCAA
Molecule: ribosomal RNA, 305 nt
Filed under: Metabacillus indicus
Lineage: Bacteria; Bacillati; Bacillota; Bacilli; Caryophanales; Bacillaceae
Description: bacterial SSU rRNA
Rfam family: Bacterial small subunit ribosomal RNA
Source: RNAcentral